RNAcentral lists this ribosomal RNA (495 nucleotides) under uncultured bacterium. Its description in RNAcentral is "partial 16S ribosomal RNA". It matches the Rfam family "Bacterial small subunit ribosomal RNA", at positions 30 to 507 of the family's 1533-position model. The record is from RNAcentral.
UGAACGCUGGCGGCGUGCCUAAUACAUGCAAGGCGAGCGAACAGACGAGGAGCUUGCUCCUCUGACGUUAGCGGCGGACGGGUGAGUAACACGUGGAUAACCUACCUAUAAGACUGGGAUAACUUCGGGAAACCGGAGCUAAUACCGGAUAAUAUAUUGAACCGCAUGGUUCAAUAGUGAAAGACGGUUUUGCUGUCACUUAUAGAUGGAUCCGCGCCGCAUUAGCUAGUUGGUAAGGUUACGGCUUACCAAGGCAACGAUGCGUAGCCGACCUGAGAGGGUGAUCGGCCACACUGGAACUGAGACACGGUCCAGACUCCUACGGGAGGCAGCAGUAGGGAAUCUUCCGCAAUGGGCGAAAGCCUGACGGAGCAACGCCGCGUGAGUGAUGAAGGUCUUCGGAUCGUAAAACUCUGUUAUUAGGGAAGAACAAAUGUGUAAGUAACUAUGCACGUCUUGACGGUACCUAAUCAGAAAGCCACGGCUAACUACGUG